AACUGAUACUACCUGCGGGAACCUGCGGAAGGAUCAUUAUCGUAUAACAGAGGCACCCAGGGCUGUCGCUGGCCUUAACAGGUUGUGCACGCCCAAAGUGCUCUCAAAUCCAUCUCACCCCUUUGUGCAUCACCACGUGAGGCCCCCAUUCAGGGGUCUUGCGUUUUUACAACAUACGCCGCAUGUAUAGAAUGUCUUUGCGAUCACACGCAAUUAAUAUAACUUUUAGCAACGGAUCUC
RNAcentral lists this unclassified non-coding RNA (240 nucleotides) under soil metagenome. RNAcentral's name for it is "partial contains 5.8S ribosomal RNA, internal transcribed spacer 2, and large subunit ribosomal RNA". The record is from RNAcentral.